Molecule: long non-coding RNA, 717 nt
Filed under: Marmota monax (woodchuck)
Lineage: Eukaryota; Metazoa; Chordata; Mammalia; Rodentia; Sciuridae
Source: RNAcentral
CUUGUUUUCAGGCUCCAUUCACAUGGUAUAUCAAUUUCAAUCCUUUUAUUUUCAAUCUGUGGCUAUCUGUUCCUGUAAGGUGAGUCUCUUGCAUACAAUAUAUAGCUGGGUCUCCUUUUUAAUCCAUUCUAUUACCAUAUGUCUUUUAAUUGGAGAGUUGAAGUCAUUUAUAUUUAAUAUUAUUAUGAAGAGAUGUUUAUUAAUUUCUGCCAUUUUGGUUAAUUGAUAAUGUUUUCUUUGGUCCUGUUUAUCAUUCACUUAGCUAAUUCUCAAAGGAGAUUGGGUUUUUGUGAGCUCUGGUGUUUGUUUUUAUUUCUUCUGCAGUAAGUAUUUCUGUAAGGUUUCUCUGAAGUGCUGGCUUAGCAGUCAUGAAUUCUUUUAGUUUCUUGUUAUCUUGGAUGGUUUUCAUUUCUUCUAUAAUUCUGAAGCAUAGCUUUGCAGAUAUAGCAAUCUUGGUUGAAAGUUUUUUCUUUCAGGACUUGGAACAUCAUUCCAUGACCUCCUGGAUUUUAAAGUUUGUGUUGAGAAAUCAGAAAUAAUCAUGAUUGGCCUCUCUCUAAAUGUUACCUGAUAUUUUUUCUUGAGGCUUUUAAAAUUCUAUCCUUGCUUCUAUACUAGGAAUUUUUAUUGUUUCUUUUUAAUCUUAUCUAUUAGGAGUUCUUAAUGAUUCCUAUAUCUGAAUGUUCAUCUCAUUCUCAAAGUCUGGAAAUUUUUCUA